CAGUCGCCGCGGUAAUACGUAGGGUGCAAGCGUUAUCCGGAAUUAUUGGGCGUAAAGAGCUCGUAGGCGGUUUGUCGCGUCUGCUGUGAAAACUGGAGGCUCAACCUCCAGCCUGCAGUGGGUACGGGCAGACUAGAGUGCGGUAGGGGAGAUUGGAAUUCCUGGUGUAGCGGUGGAAUGCGCAGAUAUCAGGAGGAACACCGAUGGCGAAGGCAGAUCUCUGGGCCGUAACUGACGCUGAGGAGCGAAAGCGUGGGGAGCGAACAGGAUUAGAUACCCCUGUAGUCCCUGUCUCUUAUAC
This 301-nucleotide ribosomal RNA is filed under the name uncultured bacterium. RNAcentral's name for it is "partial 16S ribosomal RNA". It matches the Rfam family "Bacterial small subunit ribosomal RNA", at positions 509 to 807 of the family's 1533-position model. The record is from RNAcentral.